RNAcentral lists this ribosomal RNA (301 nucleotides) under uncultured bacterium. RNAcentral describes it as "partial 16S ribosomal RNA". It matches the Rfam family "Bacterial small subunit ribosomal RNA", at positions 509 to 807 of the family's 1533-position model. The record is from RNAcentral.
CAGUAGCCGCGGUAAUACGAAGGGUGCAAGCGUUAAUCGGAAUUACUGGGCGUAAAGCGCGCGUAGGUGGUUCAUUAAGUUGGAUGUGAAAGCCCUGGGCUCAACCUGGGAACUGCAUCCAAAACUGGCGAGCUAGAGUAUGGUAGAGGGUGGUGGAAUUUCCUGUGUAGCGGUGAAAUGCGUAGAUAUAGGAAGGAACAUCAGUGGCGAAGGCGACCACCUGGACUGAUACUGACACUGAGGUGCGAAAGCGUGGGGAGCAAACAGGAUUAGAUACCCGCGUAGUCCCUGUCUCUUAUAC